AUGAAAUGCGUGGUGACGUUUGCGUCGCUACACCCUUUUCGAUCUUUACACCUGUGCAUCGUGGAGCGGGCGUCGUUCGCGGCGCCGGCCCACACACCUUUCACACAAACUCUACAGUUUAGAACGUAACAAUUAUAAAAAAAAGA
This 146-nucleotide unclassified non-coding RNA is filed under the name uncultured fungus. RNAcentral's name for it is "sequence contains ITS1, 5.8S rRNA gene". The record is from RNAcentral. Lineage: Eukaryota; Fungi.